AUUGAACGCUGGCGGCAGGCCUAACACAUGCAAGUCGAGCGGUAACACAGAGAGCUUGCUCUCGGGUGACGAGCGGCGGACGGGUGAGUAAUGUCUGGGAAACUGCCUGAUGGAGGGGGAUAACUACUGGAAACGGUAGCUAAUACCGCAUAACGUCGCAAGACCAAAGAGGGGGACCGUCGGGCCUCUUGCCAUCAGAUGUGCCCAGAUGGGAUUAGCUAGUAGGUGGGGUAACGGCUCACCUAGGCGACGAUCCCUAGCUGGUCUGAGAGGAUGACCAGCCACACUGGAACUGAGACACGGUCCAGACUCCUACGGGAGGCAGCAGUGGGGAAUAUUGCACAAUGGGCGCAAGCCUGAUGCAGCCAUGCCGCGUGUAUGAAGAAGGCCUUCGGGUUGUAAAGUACUUUCAGCGGGGAGGAAGGUGCUGAGGUUAAUAACCUCAGCAAUUGACGUUACCCGCAGAAGAAGCACCGGCUAACUCCGUGCCAGCCGCCGCAGUAA
This 504-nucleotide ribosomal RNA is filed under the name uncultured bacterium. Its description in RNAcentral is "partial 16S ribosomal RNA". It matches the Rfam family "Bacterial small subunit ribosomal RNA", at positions 30 to 523 of the family's 1533-position model. The record is from RNAcentral.